This 226-nucleotide ribosomal RNA is filed under the name uncultured bacterium. RNAcentral describes it as "partial 16S ribosomal RNA". It matches the Rfam family "Bacterial small subunit ribosomal RNA", at positions 538 to 763 of the family's 1533-position model. The record is from RNAcentral.
GCGUUGCUCGGAAUGACUGGGCGUAAAGGGCGCGUAGGCGGAUGGCACAGUCAGAUGUGAAAUUCCCGGGCUUAACCUGGGGGCUGCAUUUGAUACGUGUGAUCUAGAGUGAGGAAGAGGGUCGUGGAAUUCCCAGUGUAGAGGUGAAAUUCGUAGAUAUUGGGAAGAACACCGGUGGCGAAGGCGGCGACCUGGUCCUUGACUGACGCUGAGGCGCGAAAGCGUG